Molecule: long non-coding RNA, 7296 nt
Filed under: Homo sapiens (human)
Lineage: Eukaryota; Metazoa; Chordata; Mammalia; Primates; Hominidae
Description: non-protein coding lnc-ESRP2-4:1
Source: RNAcentral
AGUUCCGUGCGGGGCCAGCUGGCGGCGGCGCUUCCGGGCCCCCGUGGCCGCCACGGCCUGGCCGGCCUGGGAUGACAAUACUUGAGGAAUCCUCGCUGGUGCUGCCCUCCUGCCCUCUGCUUGGAACCCCUCCCCUAAGUGUCAGUGAGUGGACGUAUAUAUUUGGAUCAAUCGAGUUGCACCCUUUGCCUCCCAGAUCAGUUCCUCCGGCCUCCCUGGCUGAGCAGAAGGACAGCUCUGGACACUUGUGUCAGCACCCAGCCCACGUGUCCCUGCCACAGCUUCAUAUAAGGUAUGCCGGCUCAGCCGGGCCUGGUGGCUCACGCCUGUAAUCCUACAACUUUGGGAGGCUGAGGCAGGCAGAUCACCUUGAGGUCAGGAGUUCGAGACCAGCCUGACCAACAUGGAGAAACCCCGUCUCUACUAAAAAUACAAAAUUAGCCGAGUGUGGUGGCACAUGCCUGUAAUCGCAGCUACUCAGGAGGCUGAGGCAGGAGAAUCGCUUUAACCCAGGAGGCAGAGGUUGCAGUAAGCCGAGAUCGCGCCAUUGCACUCCAGCCUGGGCAAUAAGAGCGAAAGUCUAUCUCAAAAAAAAAAAAAAAAAAACACCAUAUGCCAGCUCCGUCUGGCUUUGCAGUCUCAUACCCAGUUACGUAGCCCAUCAGCUGAAAGCCCAAUGUACACCACACCCUGAAUCAGAUGUUCUCCAACACCAUCAGUGUUCCUCAGGACCACCCUGCAGGAUACAUUUAUUUGUAACCAUUCUUUUCUUUUGCUUUUAGAGAUCUUGCUGUUGCCCAGGCUGGAGUGCAAUGGCUAUUCACAGGUGUGAUCAUAGCUCACUGCAGCCUCGAACUCCUGGUUUCAAGCGAUCUUCCUGCCUCAGCUUCCUACUUGGGACUACAGAUUUAUUUCAUCUUUUUUUUUUUUUUUGAGAUGUAUCUCGCUCUGUCUUGCUCAGGCUGGAGUGCAGUGGUGCCAUCUUGGCUCACUGCAGCCUCCGCCUCCCAGGUUCCAGUGAUUCUCCUGUCUCGGCCUCCAGAGUAGCUAGGACCACAAGGCAUGUGCCACCACACCUGACUAAUUUUGUAUUUUUAGUAGAUAUGGGGUUUCACCAUGUUGGCCAGGCUGGUCUUGAACUCCUGACCUCAUGUGAUCCACCCUCCUUGGCCUCCCAAAGUGCUGGGCUCACAGGCGUGAACCAUGGCGCCCGGCCUAUUUCACCUUUAGAGAUAAAGUCUUGCCCAGGCUGGUCUCAAACUCCUGGGCUCAAGCGAUCCUCCCACCUUAGCCUCCUGAGUAGGUGGAACUAUAAGCGUGAGCCAAUGCACCCAGAUGUCCCCAUUCUUUGGAUGAGGAAACUGAGGGUCAGGAGGCUCCCCAGACAACUUGGCUGGAGCUAGUAGAGCUGAGAUUUGAACCCUAGUAUGCUGAUCCUUAAGCCUCCUCUGAUUCCAUGCCCUUUCUCUCUGCAGCUAUGAAACUGAGGGUGAUGGUGAAGCUAAAAUGGGUCAGGGAUGAGUGGGGUGCCAUGAGUAGGGGGGUGUCAGGGCCAAGCAGGGAGUCAGGUUGGGCAGGGCCUGGGGUGAAGCUCCCUUUCAUGUUGUCAUCCUUUUACUGAGGCCAGAGCUGCAGCUGGACCCCAGUAUUUUUACCACAGGCAUUUUUACCCCCACUCUGGGUCACCUCGUCCUUCCAGGUUUGGCUAACAGGUGGUUCAGUGAGAGGGUUCAGGGCGCCCUCUUGUGGCCCCUGGUGUAUCAAAGUCUGGCGCCCCAGCUUGUGGGGCUGAGUUAAGACAGAACUGGGUACCGGCUGGGCUCUGGACUACAAAAUUCAGGCUGGGACCCUAUCCCCUAUCCAUGUUUCCUUGGCUCUGUCUCUGUUUCUGUCUUUGUCCAUACCAGUCUCAGCCUAGUAGUCUCUUUUCCUCCCUUGAUCUCUCUCAUCUGUACCUCCCCAGGGGUACAGAUGGCAGGCUGAUGAGCUGAAGAUGCAAAGAAGGGUGGCAUCCUAAAAAGAACUCUAGGUUCAAAGGAUGCUGACACUUGCAAGCUGAGGGAGGACAGAGGCUGGGAAGGAGGGUGUAGCCAGGGUGACCUGCAGGACUGUCCUUGCUCCCAGCUCCUGGGUGGCAUGUGGGGCCUGCUGACCAGGCAGGAGCAGGGGGAGGACAGGACCCCAUUUCCACAGGAAUGUUUCAGGUUCUGGUUCUUAGUCCCAGGAAGGGAACUGGAUUCCAGGAGAGAGGACAGGAGGAUGAGGUCCACAGAAGGGCACAGGAACCAUGCUUUGAUGCUGAGACAACCUGUCAAGGCUCCUGUAAAGGCCCAGCCCCUAAUUUCCUGCCUCUGUAGCCACCUUGUACCUCCACCACCUCCCUCCCCUCAUGCUCAGAGCAGAAUGUAGGCCAGGGCACCUUACAGCAUCCAGAGUACUUUUAUUGCCAGAAUCCAGAUACAGCCUGCUCAGAGCCCCAUGUGGGGCCACUCAGGAACAAGGGGAGACAGAUGCCAGGCAUGUAUGCAACAGAGAAAAUCCAGCUGCACAGAAACCCUGUGGGAGAGCAGCUCAGUCCAGCGUGAAGGCGUCUUUGGGAACCCCACCUAGAGGCUGUACCCUUUUCUCGGCCUGUGGCCAGUCACCCACUUAGAGCCUACUGCCAUGAAGGCAGCCCUGACUCUCCAUGCCUGCUGCCACAGGGAGAUCCAUGGAGCACCCUGGGGCAGACAGAAAGCCCCUAGGGGGGCCUCAGGGGACCCCUGGCUCUCUCAGGGUCCCAUUCAAGUUUCUGGGCUAGUCCCAGCACUAAGCUGGGUGCUGGCCAGGGUGGAUAGGAGCCCCAUCCUCAGCCCUGUGCUGACCCACUUGGUACUAGUGAGACCCUAGGGCAGGGUGGCAGUGUGAUGGUGGGGUUAGCAAGAGGUGCAGCUCAGGGAAGCUGCGAGCAGCCUUGGCUGCUUCCUUGGAUUCCCUUUCUCCAUAGGUUCCCAGAAGGCCAUGGCUCCAACCCCUGCUCUCAUCCUUGGAACCACAGUCCCAGGGUGAAGGGAGGCAGCUUCAGUCCUGGGGCCAAUAGCACAUCCGAGGAAAUCAGGGCCCCUGGAACACAGCCUGCGGGACUGGGGGCACAUCUGCUGCCCAAUCCAGAGCUUGAAUGCUCCUGGUGGUAAGGGAGGUAGGAGUGGAGUGAGAUGUCCCAGGGCCUGGGAACCACGAAGAACGCAACAAACUGCCCCUGCCUGCAGGAGCUACUAGGCUCGCCCAGGAAGCCAGUCAGGCUGGCCACCAGCUAAGCCACAGGGAAGCCAGCAGCUCUAGCUACCCAUGACCAGUGGCAGGCCUAUCUGUGGCUGGUGUGUGGGAAGGGUCACCCGAGGGGCCAGGAGCCGAUCCCUGGGACCUCUGGGUACAGGACCACAGCCCAGUAACAUCCCUCAUAGGAAGGCUGCGGGGCCAGGGCCCAGUAGGCAAGUAUGAAAAGCCCACAGGAAUAGGGGGGACACAUGGCCCCAGGCAGGGACUGGGACCAGGGCCCAGCCAGUCCACCCUGUGGAGCCAGUCCUAAGGUCACAGCAGUUCCACCAUCAGCAGCAUUCUUGCCAUCCAGUGUCCCUUGAGUCUAGACUCUCAUUUCUUCCUUCUUCACUGCCACAGAGAAAGGAUAACAAACAGCACUUCCCCAUGGCAGAUGCUUCACAGUCCAAGACUCGGGGCCUUGAAUGGUGAGUCACAAACUUUGCAAAACGCGUGGGCCAUGACAGCCCCAGAGGCCAACAGCAGGUCCACGGCCGAGCCACAGGAGUCCUGUGGCACAGGAGUCAGGGCCCAAGGAGCACACGUUUCAGAUAGGCCAGGGUGGUGGCGUUGGCCAGCAUCUCGAUGUGCUCGCUGCCUGGCAGCUCCUGCAGCAACACUUGGUGCUCCUGGCGGCUCUGCCAGGCCUGGCACUGCAGGGCACUCUUCAAGUUCACAGUACCAUCGCCGUCACCAAAGCAGAUUUUAGGGUCACGGUCAGGGAAGCUCUCAUAGUAGAAGGAGUCUGGUGUGGGGACGCCAGUACCAUAGAGGCAGUGCAGCUGCACGCCAGGUGGCAUCGUGGCUUCCACCAGCCCUUCUGUGUCCUGCCGCAUGAGCCAGCCAUCUUCAAAGCCGAUGUCCUGGAAGAACUUGCGGUAGUCCCGCAGUGUGUAGUUGAUUGUGGGUGUCUGCACGAACACCUUCUCAGGUGACCAUGUGUAGUUGUAGGGCAGCAGCCAGCUGGUGGAGACAGCUGACCGCUGCUGCUCCCGGAUCUUCAGGGGCCCGAUGACUGGGAUCCGGUUGUUGUCUCCUGCAGGGAGAAGGCUCUGGUCAGUCUGUGCUUAGGAAUGCCAGCUGGUUGGGCAGCAUGUUCACCACCAGGCCCCUGCCAGACCCCAGCCAGGGGCCCAGUCCACAGUCCCGCAUCUCUACCCGGUUAUCAUCAUUGUAAUCACUGUGACUCCCAUCCCUGCCUUGGCUCUUUUUUUUUCUUUUUGAGACAGGGUCUCACUCUGUUGCCCAGGCUGGAGUAUAAUGGCAUGAUCACGGCUCACAGCAGCCUCAACCUCUCAGGCUCAACCAAUCCUCCCGCCUCAGCCUUUGGAGUAGCUGGGACUACAGGUAUGCGCCACCAUGCCUCAUGCCUGGCAAAUUUUUCCUUUUUUUUUUUUUUGAAGUAGGGUCUCAUUCUGUCACCCAGGCUGGAGUGCAGUGGUACAGUCUUGGCUCACUACAACCUCCACCUCCUGGGUUCAAGUGAUCCUCCUAUGUCAGCCUCCUGCAUAGCUGGAACUACAAGCACGUCCCACCACGCCUGGGCUAAAAAUGUUUCCACUUUUUAUACAGAUGGGGUCUUGCUAUGUUGCCCAGUUUGCUUGCCUUGGCUUUUAUUGUUUCUCUUUAUUUUUGCUACAUCUGGGAACCACACAUCCAAGCUAUGUUUUGUUUUUUUUGCUUUCCUCACCAGGGAGUAAGGCGGCACAUACCCACAGGGUGAUUUAUGAUGCUUCCUUGCCUGUAAACUCUACCAUCCUCCAAGUGCUGAUCAGGCCUGUGGGCACUGACCUAGUCUAAAGUGAGUCAGCAGGUUGGCAACUCGGAGAUGACAUGUUCUGCUUUCCCUUUUAUGACACUGAACUGUGUACCAGUUUUUCUUUUCCUAAGCUCAGACCAGCGUUCAGCCAGCCGUGGCCUCAUUCCACCCACUUGCAUGUGCGCUGACCUGGGCAGCCAGGCGUGCUGGAGACAGGGCACGAGGGGAGGCUGCAGAUGGAGGCGGAGUCCCUAUACACAGGAAUGUGAACAACACAAACACCCGGCAGUCAGGGAGGCCUCCAGGAAGUAAAAGCUGCAACUUGGGAACAGGGGCCUCUGGCCUGUUCAGGAUCCAUGGUCACCCAUCACCCCACCCUGUAUCUGAAAGCAGGGAGGCCUCUCAGACUGACUGUAGGGCCUCAGCUCUGCCUGCUGUGGCCUGGCUGGGGGACCCCUGAGGCAAGGAAAGCCCCUAGGGGUGCACGGACUUCCACCUCCCCGCACCACACACCCAGUCCUGGACUGCCAAGGCAGGACAGAACAGCUUCCCAGCCUUUGAAACAAAGCUCUAAGGGGACUCACAGAGAAACUCUGAAAGGGGCCGGGGCUACCUGUCUAAACUCAGGGUAUGCCCACAUCCGUCCCUCCAGGCCCAGGCUAGACCGAAGUGGUGGCUAUAAUGAGUCCUCACUAAAUCUGAGUGUCUUCCAGCCAACUCAGAGUCACUGGGCCUGACCCAAUCACAAUGCCAGUAGACCAAGCAGGUCAAGCAGUGGCAGGCACUUGAGCUCAUGAGAUGCUUGGCACAGCCCUGGCUCAUAGCUCCCAAAGUGAGGGUCCAUAAGCCUCCCCCAAGUCCUAGCAGAGGGAGGAAAGCUCCCUUCUAGAGGAAGAAGCUCUACUCUACAGCUGCAGCUGGUGAGCUGCAACAGUCAUGAAAAGACGGGGGAGGAGCCAUAAAAGGGGUGGCUUUCCCAAUUGCCAGGCAAGCAGGCCCAGCCAGAUCUGCACCUGCUUCCUCCCUGUGUUGCCUACAGAGGCUCCGUGCUGCCCACAGAUGGAGGCGCAACUCAUAAAUAAAAAACUGUAGUCUAGAGGCCAGGUGCAGUGGCUCAUCCUUGUAAUCCCAGAACUUUGGGAGGUCAAGGUGGGCAGAUCAUUUGAGGUCAGGAGUUCAAGACCAGCCUGACCAAAAUGGUGAAACCCCAUCUCUACUAAAAAUACAAAAAAAUCUGGCCGGGUGCGGUGGUUCAUGCUUGUAAUCCCAGCACUUUGGGAGGCUGAGGCAGGCAGAUCCUCCUGACUUGAGGUCAGGAGUUAGAGACUAGCCCGGCCAACAUAGUGAAACCCAGUCUCUACUAAAAAUACAAAAAUUAGCCGGGUGUGGUGGUACGCGCCUGUAGUCCCAGUUACCCGGGAGGCUGAGGCAGGAGAAUCACUUGAACCUGGAAGGUGGAGGUUGCAUGAACCAAAAUCACGCUACUGCACUCCAACCUGGAUGGCAGAGUGAGAAAGACCCUGCCUCCAAAAAAAAAAAAAAAAUGCUCUAGCCUUCCUCCUCUGCGGUGAAGGUGGGGAUGAAGAAGUAAGGAUGGGGUAAGAGGGAGGGAUGGCCAGGCACAGUGGCUCACACUUGUAAUCCCAGCACUUUGGGAGGCCGAAGCGAGUGGAACAUCUGAGGUCAGGAGUUCAAGACCAGCCUGGCCAACAUGAUGAAACCUCAUCUCUACUAAAACACAAAACUUAGCCAGGCAUGGUGGCGGGCACCUGUAAUCCCAGCUACUCAGGAGGCUGAGGCAGAAUCGCUUGAACCCGGGAGGCAGAGGUUGCAGUGAGACAAGAUUGCACCACUGCAUUCCAGUCUGGGUGACAGAACCAGACUCUGUCUCAAAAAAUAAAAAUUAAAAAAAAAACAGGGCUGACCCAAGAGAAUAGUCAUUGUGGAGACCAAAGCAACUCCAUUUUGGAUACUAAUCCACCAUGUUGGCUUCUGAUUAACCCCAGAUCCAGGAAGGCCACUGAGAUUUCCACUUUAUCUACUGUUUCUUGUGCACGUACUUAACCAUAAAUCAAAACAGCCUCUGUGUUAUCAUCCUUCAAUGUUCAACACAUCGCAUCGGAGUCGCCCUUUCCCUACAGAAUAUAAGCUCUGGGUCUGGGGGCUAAUAGUGUGGGGAUCCACCAUCUUGUCUUGCCCCCACCUGAGACACAGAUGUGGCUUCUAUUCGUAUGUCCCUA